GCAGCCGCCCUCCCUCCCGUCCGCUCCGCGUGCCGCUCCUCGCGCGCCGGGCUUUGCGGGCAGCCGGGCGCUCCGGGGCAGCGCCGAGUGACGCGGCGGGGCCCGGCCCGGCCCGGCCCACAGAGCAGAGCCGCGGCUGCCGGAGCUCGGGCCGUGCUGGGGCGUGGAAGGAGCUUGAAGAGCGUCCGCUUCCAACCCCUUCCACUAGAACAGGUGGCUCCAGGCCCCAUCCCACCUGGCCUUGAACACUUCCAGGGAUGGGGUAGCCGCAGCUUCUCUGGGCAACCUGUGACAGUGCUUCGCCACCCUGAGGAUAAAGAAUAUCCUAAAAGAUAAUCUAAACCUUCUCUCUUUCAAUCUGAACCCGUUCCCACGUGUUCUCUAUCGCUUCGUGCUCCGCCAUAUAGUCUUCCCUCACAGCAGAGCCGAUCCACCCUUUGGAACUCACUCCAGCAGCUCCAUGUCCUUCCUGUGCCGGUUCCCCAGAGCUGGAGGCAGCUCUGCAGCUGAGGUCUCCCCUGAGAGGGGCAGAAUCCCCCCUUCCCCCCAGGACACGUCUGCAUUUCUGGGCUGUAUGCACUGAGGGCCAGCUCAUGUCCAGCCUCUCAUCCAGUGCUCUCUUCUGGAAGAUGCACAGUCUGAGGCAAGUGCCAGCUUUUUUUUGUAAAGUGUUACCGGGCCUCAAAUGUAGCUUGUUACUCAAUUUCCUACUCUAUGACUAUAACCUUUAAGUGAUAAUAAAAAUACAGAUGUUGUGUUACAGCUUUACCAGAUAAUGCAGAACAACAGUUCUAUCACUCAGUGAUAUGCAAUACCGAUAUGCAGUUCCUUUUCAAAUAGAGCAAAUAAAGUCCACUAGCAUAAAAGUGGAGAUUUUUUUAGUCUAAGGAACUGUGACAUAUUAGGAGUUUUAGACCCUUUAUUUUACCAUAACUAAUGUGAAAACACAAUUUUGCCUCUGGUUUUGCUUGUUGUGUGAUCUUUUUGUAGACACAGGAAGCAUCUAUCUCAGUGUAUUUUAUGUGGCACUGCACUAUUUCACGGGAGAAUAUUCUGGAAGCUGACAGUUGUGUAUGGAUUUUCAGAUGAGAUACUUUAAAUAUUAAUAUCAAUGAUAUCUUGGUCACUAAUCUCCUUGGCAAAAUGCCAUUAUUUACCCUUUGUUCAUUUUCACCCUGUUUACACAAAGGGGAAAAAUUUAGAGCAUGAAAAAUCCAACUCUUCACAGCAUCAGAAACUACUUGGACUACACUCCAUGGAAUUAUUGUACAUUUCUAGAUGUGUAUCUAGAAGCAGCAUUAGGUCAUAGUUACCAAACUGUGAAUUAAAUAGCUGCAAAUACUACCUCAACAUAAAACCGUAGUUCUUCCUUACAUAUCCCCCAUCCUUCAAACUUGUAAUAUUUGAUCUCUUAGGUAAGUAACAUUCCCAUCAUAUACUUUACAGGUUAUAUAGAAAGCAUAUAUUUAUAUGAUUUUUAAACAAGCAAAUACAAAUAGAGAAAAAUAUCUGGGAAAACAAUAUUUAAAUUUGCUUCAUACAACAUACAAACCUUGAUAUACAUCUAAGAAUUACUUGUACAAAUUUAAGGAGUUUUUAAAAAGAUGGUUAUGUUAGCAUCCUUUAUAUUAGCCAAAGGGUCCUUUUGUUUACUCUCCACCUUCUGCCACAAUGUGUAAUGAGACAAUACAUUGGAUUAAAGCAGCAGUUUGACUGCAUUUGCUGUCUUUUCUAACCAAUGCAUACAUGUAAUCCUUGUGUUGUGCCCCACCCAUCCUUACACACAAACAAUGAGGAUGCAUAAGGACCAGUACAAGCAUGUUUGUAAUGUAGUCUCUUUGCCUACUGAAAAAUAAUCACUAAUGCAACUCUCAGCACUCAGAUCUCAAAAGCUUUGCUUACAACAAGGGUAGUUUUAAGUGGCUUGCAGGGAGGUGUACAUGUUGAAUGCAGAGGAAGACUGGGGUAGAAGCUCUGGGUAUAAUUUUCCUUUUUGGUUAGUUUUUUCAGUAAGAUUUCUUUAGUACAAAUCACGUGAUUUGGAACCAGAGUCUCACCUCUUGCUCCCAUUCUUCCUCAGAUCAGAGUACUUUAGGUGGUAGCUAAUAUGAAUCCUACAGGUAUGCUCAUAAUGGGUGCAAUCAGUGCAGAACAGGAGCUUGGGCUUUAGCACUGUGUAUUAGAAAUUUCUGUUUAGUAUAGCACAUCAUCAUCUCUCCUAAAAGAGAGAUAUUUCACACCCUUCUGGGAAUAUAUGUAAUCAUCCAUCUAUUCUAUAGGCUCCACCUGAGAGCAUUUGAGCUUAGAAUUUGAGCCUGGAUUAGUAUCUUGCAUAUAUGCUAAGAAUUUACAGUGGGAUUGGGGAAGUUUGCAUGGAGAGUUCUUUUGUUCUGCUGUAUGCCUCAGAAAUAAAAUUGGUGGCAUUAAAUAUUUGAAACUAUUGAAAACAUUGCCUGUAUUAUCAUAUGGUCUAACGAUUCAGUAGCAGCAUUUUUCCUGGUGUUCUUGGCUUCUGUAAAAGUCACUAGAUGAACAUGACUCAGUGGAUCAGGUGAAGCAGAUUGUUGUCUUGGCUGACUUGCACAUUUGCUGUGGAAAUUUGGAGCAUGGAAUGAAGAAGGGAUGAUGCUGUAGAAGUGGAAUAAAUGCUGACCUGAAGAACUAUAGUUUGGUCUUUGCCAGACAGUUCUUGUGUAUCACCUGGCAAAUUAUUUAAACCAAUUUCUUUACGAAGUAGACCUGUUUGCUUAUUUGAAGACUAAUGUCCUUCUCCACUACAGCUGUGAAAAGAGGCCAGCUCUGUUCAGAGCUCACACGUUGGACUUUUCCUAUCUAUGUGGAUACACAUCCAUCCUCCACUUCCAGAUUAAAUGUAUAAAGACAGAAAGAAUAA
Long non-coding RNA from Parus major (Great Tit), 2893 nucleotides. RefSeq lists it as uncharacterized. Lineage: Eukaryota; Metazoa; Chordata; Aves; Passeriformes; Paridae. The record is from RefSeq and is a predicted model, not a curated record. The transcript has 2 exons.